This 245-nucleotide ribosomal RNA is filed under the name uncultured bacterium. Its description in RNAcentral is "partial 16S ribosomal RNA". It matches the Rfam family "Bacterial small subunit ribosomal RNA", at positions 9 to 253 of the family's 1533-position model. The record is from RNAcentral.
GAGUUUGAUCCUGGCUCAGAUUGAACGCUGGCGGCAUGCCUUACACAUGCAAGUCGAACGGGCAGCGCGGGCAACCUGGCGGCGAGUGGCGAACGGGUGAGUAAUAUAUCGGAACGUACCCUGGAGUGGGGGGAUAACGGUAGCGAAAGUUACGCUAAUACCGCAUACGAUCUAAGGAUGAAAGUGGGGGCUUCGCAAGAACCUCAUAGCUCCUGGAGCGGCCGAUAUCUGAUUAGCUAGUUGGU